GGCGUCAUGGUCUAGAGGUAUGAUUCUUGCUUUGGGACAUCUCAAAAUUGCAAGAGGUCCCGGGUUCAAUCCCCGGUGACGCCC
Molecule: transfer RNA, 84 nt
Filed under: Verticillium alfalfae VaMs.102
Lineage: Eukaryota; Fungi; Ascomycota; Sordariomycetes; Glomerellales; Plectosphaerellaceae
Description: tRNA-Pro
Rfam family: tRNA
About the family: Transfer RNA (tRNA) molecules are approximately 80 nucleotides in length.
Source: RNAcentral